RNAcentral lists this ribosomal RNA (599 nucleotides) under uncultured bacterium. RNAcentral describes it as "bacterial SSU rRNA". It matches the Rfam family "Bacterial small subunit ribosomal RNA", at positions 240 to 854 of the family's 1533-position model. The record is from RNAcentral.
AUCAGCUGUUGGUGGUGUAACUGCCUACCAAGGCAACGACGGGUAGCUGGUCUGAGAGGACGAUCAGCCACACUGGGACUGAGACACGGCCCAGACUCCUACGGGAGGCAGCAGUAGGGAAUCUUGCGCAAUGGGCGAAAGCCUGACGCAGCGACGCCGCGUGCGGGAUGAAGGCCUUCGGGUCGUAAACCGCUUUCAGCAGGGACGAAAUUGACGGUACCUGCAGAAGAAGGCCCGGCCAACUACGUGCCAGCAGCCGCGGUGAUACGUAGGGGUCUAGCGUUGUCCGGAAUCAUUGGGCGUAAAGAGCUCGUAGGCGGUUCGGCAAGUCGGAUGUGAAAUCUCCACGCUCAACGUGGAGGGGCCAUUCGAUACUGCCGUGACUCGAGUCCGGUAGGGGAGUGCGGAAUUCCCGGUGUAGCGGUGAAAUGCGCAGAUAUCGGGAGGAACACCAGUGGCGAAGGCGGAACUCUGGGCCGGAACUGACGCUGAGGAGCGAAAGCGUGGGGAGCGAACAGGAUUAGAUACCCUGGUAGUCCACGCCGUAAACGUUGGGCACUAGGUGUGGGACUCUAUCGACGGGUUCCGUGCCGUAGCUA